CUAUUUCUCAGCUCUUGCAAUGAUUUCCUGAGCUCCGGGCGUUCUUUUCAGGAAAUCCCCACGCCAAUACCUUGAAGAAUUCCCUCUGCAAUUUUUUGCCAGGGGAGAGUCCAUAAUGGUUGAAUGAAUGCUGGAGCGGGCAGCAGAGAGAUCACACCUUCAGCAAGAAACAUGAGGCAGAGAGAGCGAACUGGAAGUGGAUUGGUGCCUACCCCAAAAGCCAUCAGAGAGACUUCAUCUAGUAGCUGAAACAGAUGCAGAGAUCCACAGCCAAGCAUUGGGCAUAGCUCAAGAACUCCUGCUCAAGAGAGAGAGAGGAAGGAUUGUAGGAGCCAGAGGGGUCAAGGACAACCACAAGAAAAAUCCACAGAAACAACU
Non-coding RNA from Myodes glareolus (Bank vole), 378 nucleotides. The record is from RefSeq and is a predicted model, not a curated record. Lineage: Eukaryota; Metazoa; Chordata; Mammalia; Rodentia; Cricetidae.